AAUAUUUCUCACUGAAUGGCAAGGUACCAGAAAAGGUGCACAAUUAUAUUUUCAUGGACAAAUUUUGCAAGACUACAAGAUAAUCUUUCCAAAGAAAAUCACACCAUGGAUGCACUCUCAGCCACUUUUGAAAUGAAGGUUCAACUUGACUGGACCUCUGAAGACAGACUGAAGAAGAAGAUCGAUUGGCCUUUCCAGGAAAAACUGAAGAUGAACACUAAUUCACAGAAAAACGAAAUACCCUCAACCUAAGGUAUCUCCUCAAUUCUUCCAAAUAAUGAGCCCUGUUCGUCUCUCCUAAUGCACUGAACCUGUGUAAAAUGAAGGCAUUUGAAAACUA
Ornithorhynchus anatinus (platypus) is the source of this 340-nucleotide long non-coding RNA. RefSeq lists it as uncharacterized. Lineage: Eukaryota; Metazoa; Chordata; Mammalia; Monotremata; Ornithorhynchidae. The transcript has 2 exons. The record is from RefSeq and is a predicted model, not a curated record.